This 76-nucleotide transfer RNA is filed under the name Acanthistius ocellatus (eastern wirrah). RNAcentral's name for it is "tRNA-Val". The record is from RNAcentral. Lineage: Eukaryota; Metazoa; Chordata; Actinopteri; Perciformes; Anthiadidae.
CAAGUCGGAUCGCCCUGACGCCCAACAGCUAGCCCACCUAAACAAAAACAACAAACCACUAUCAAUAACCCCUAAU